AGAGUUUGAUCCUGGCUCAGGAUGAACGCUAGCGGCAGGCUUAAUACAUGCAAGUCGAGGGGCAGCGCGGGUAGCAAUACCUGGCGGCGACCGGCAAACGGGUGCGGAACACGUACGCAACCUUCCCAUAACUGGUGAAUAGCCCUCCGAAAGGAGGAUUAAUACACCGUAACAUAACGAGGAGGCAUCUCUUUGUUAUUAUAGUAGCAAUACGGUUUUGGAUGGGCGUGCGCCUGAUUAGGUAGUUGGCGGGGUAACGGCCCACCAAGCCUGCGAUCAGUAACUGGUGUGAGAGCACGACCAGUCACACGGGCACUGAGACACGGGCCCGACUCCUACGGGAGGCAGCAGUAAGGAAUAUUGGUCAAUGGACGAAAGUCUGAACCAGCCAUGCCGCGUGAAGGAUUAAGGCCCUCUGGGUUGUAAACUUCUUUUAUCUGGGACGAAAAAAGGGUAUUCUUACUCACUUGACGGUACCAGAGGAAUAAGCACCGGCUAACUCCGUGCCAGCAGCCGCGGUAAUACGGAGGGUGCAAGCGUUAUCCGGAUUUACUGGGUUUAAAGGGUGCGUAGGUGGGUUUGUAAGUCAGUGGUGAAAUCUCCGAGCUUAACUCGGAAACUGCCAUUGAUACUAUAGAUCUUGAAUUAUCUGGAGGUAAGCGGAAUAUGUCAUGUAGCGGUGAAAUGCUUAGAUAUGACAUAGAACACCAAUUGCGAAGGCAGCUUACUACGGAUAUAUUGACACUGAGGCACGAAAGCGUGGGGAUCAAACAGGAUUAGAUACCCUGGUAGUCCACGCC
This 800-nucleotide ribosomal RNA is filed under the name uncultured bacterium. Its description in RNAcentral is "bacterial SSU rRNA". It matches the Rfam family "Bacterial small subunit ribosomal RNA", at positions 8 to 801 of the family's 1533-position model. The record is from RNAcentral.